This 434-nucleotide ribosomal RNA is filed under the name uncultured Lachnospiraceae bacterium. Its description in RNAcentral is "partial 16S ribosomal RNA". It matches the Rfam family "Bacterial small subunit ribosomal RNA", at positions 341 to 792 of the family's 1533-position model. The record is from RNAcentral. Lineage: Bacteria; Bacillati; Bacillota; Clostridia; Lachnospirales; Lachnospiraceae.
ACGGAAGGCAGCAGUGGGGAAUAUUGCACAAUGGGGGAAACCCUGAUGCAGCGACGCCGCGUGAGUGAAGAAGUAUUUCGGUAUGUAAAGCUCUAUCAGCAGGGAAGAAAAUGACGGUACCUGACUAAGAAGCCCCGGCUAACUACGUGCCAGCAGCCGCGGUAAUACGUAGGGGGCGAGCGUUAUCCGGAUUUACUGGGUGUAAAGGGAGCGUAGACGGUUCUGCAAGUCUGAUGUGAAAGGCAGGGGCUCAACUCCUGGACUGCAUUGGAAACUGUAGAACUAGAGUGCCGGAGAGGUAAGCGGAAUUCCUAGUGUAGCGGUGAAAUGCGUAGAUAUUAGGAGGAACACCAGUGGCGAAGGCGGCUUACUGGACGGUAACUGACGUUGAGGCUCGAAAGCGUGGGGAGCAAACAGGAUUAGAUACCCUGGUA